RNAcentral lists this long non-coding RNA (311 nucleotides) under Homo sapiens (human). RNAcentral describes it as "HSALNT0054500". The record is from RNAcentral. Lineage: Eukaryota; Metazoa; Chordata; Mammalia; Primates; Hominidae.
GAAAGGGUAAAGAGGGAAUGGGAUGAAGAAAGAUUUCUGGAUGUGGGGCCACCUCACAGGUGGAGGGAAGUCUCUGCGCUCAGCAUCAUUGCUGCAAGUGAUGAAACCAAGCCUCAGGUGUGUUGAGGCAGUGGCAGAGGUACGUGGGGUUGUUGGGGCAAGAGCUGGACCUGGGGCUAAAGGCUGGAGCAAGAGGCAAGGACUGGACCUGGAGACACAGCUGGACCAGAGCACCUGGGGCCAGGGAUGGACUGCGGAGCCAAGGCAGAGGUUUCCAGGAGCUGCGGGGAGACAUUGGCCCCUGAGAGAGG